GUUGUCCGGAUUAUUGGGCGUAAAGAGCUCGUAGGCGGCUGGUCGCGUCUGUCGUGAAAUCCUCUGGCUUAACUGGGGGCUUGCGGUGGGUACGGGCCGGCUUGAGUGCGGUAGGGGAGACUGGAACUCCUGGUGUAGCGGUGGAAUGCGCAGAUAUCAGGAAGAACACCGGUGGCGAAGGCGGGUCUCUGGGCCGUUACUGACGCUGAGGAGCGAAAGCGUGGGGAGCGAACAGGAUUAGAUACCCUGGUAGUCCACGCCGUAAACGUUGGGCACUAGGUGUGGGGGGCCUUUUCCGGGUCUUCCGCGCCGUAGCUAACGCAUUAAGUGCCCCGCCUGGGGAGUACGGCCGCAAGGCUAAAACUCAAAGGAAUUGACGGGGGCCCGCACAAGCGGCGGAGCAUGCGGAUUAAUUCGAUGCAACGCGAAGAACCUUACCAAGGCUUGACAUGUGCCGGUCGGCUCCGGAGACGGGGCUUCCUCCUUGUGGGGCCGGUUCACAGGUGGUGCAUGGUUGUCGUCAGCUCGUGUCGUGA
This 536-nucleotide ribosomal RNA is filed under the name uncultured bacterium. RNAcentral's name for it is "bacterial SSU rRNA". It matches the Rfam family "Bacterial small subunit ribosomal RNA", at positions 540 to 1070 of the family's 1533-position model. The record is from RNAcentral.